CCUAAAGAUUUCACUUGCUGACUAGUACAAUAAACAGCUGCGCCAUGAGCGCAUGAUACGCCCGUCGUCUUGUGUGUGAAUUUUUAUGCAAUAAGCAUAAAUAGUUUCUGACAUACGGCGUGACAUGCGAAAACCCCCUUUUUUUUUACAAAAAACUCAAUAUAUCUAAAAUAAAAUUUUGAAUCAAAACCAAAAAGUAUACAGAUCUUUAGAUUAAUAUAACUAAGAAGUGUGUAAAAUUUUAAGCAAUAAUCAUAAAUUGUUUUUGAGAUACGGCGCGACAUGUGAAAAACCCCUCCCCCUUUUUUUACAAAAUACUCAAUAACUCAAAAAUAAAAUUUUGAAUCAUCACCAAAAAGUAUACAGAUCUUAAGAUUAAUAUAACUAAGAAGUGUGUAAAGUUUUAAGCAAUAACCAUAAAUUGUUUUUGAGAUACGGCGCGACAUGUGAAAAAAACACACGCCUGUUUCAGUUACUAAGUCCCGUAACUCAAAAAGUUUUAAUCUUAUUUUCACCAAAAAGUAUACAGAUCGUUUGACCAUCAUAAGAAACAACUAUCUUAAGUUUCAUGAAAUUUGGAUAAGUCAUUCUCAUGUUACGGUGCGACAUGUUUACGCCGGACAGACAGACGGACAGACAGACAGAUGGACAGACAGACAGACGGACGGACGGACAGACAGACAGACGGACGGACGCCGGACAUUUGUAUACCAUAAUACGUCCCGUCAAAAAUUUGACGGGCGUAUAAAAAUGUAG
This is a long non-coding RNA of Mytilus californianus (California mussel), 756 nucleotides long. RefSeq lists it as uncharacterized. NCBI's taxonomy places the organism in Eukaryota, Metazoa, Mollusca, Bivalvia, Mytilida, Mytilidae. The record is from RefSeq and is a predicted model, not a curated record. The transcript is spliced from 2 exons.